UACGUAGGGGGCUAGCGUUGUCCGGAUUUAUUGGGUUUAAAGGGUGCGUAGGCGGUCCUAUAAGUCAGUGCUGAAAUAUCCCGGCUUAACCGGGAGGGUGGCAUUGAUACUGCAGGACUUGAGUAAAGUUGAGGUUGGCGGAAUUGACGGUGUAGCGGUGAAAUGCUUAGAUAUCGUCAAGAACACCUAUUGCGAAGGCAGCUAACUAAGCUUUAACUGACGCUGAGGCACGAAAGUGUGGGGAUCAAACAGG
This 253-nucleotide ribosomal RNA is filed under the name uncultured bacterium. RNAcentral's name for it is "partial 16S ribosomal RNA". It matches the Rfam family "Bacterial small subunit ribosomal RNA", at positions 524 to 776 of the family's 1533-position model. The record is from RNAcentral.